UGCAGAGAGUGCAAACGUUGUUCGGAAUUACUGGGCUUAAAGCGCACGUAGGCUGCGUCGUAAGUGUCAGGUGAAAUCCCACGGCUCACCCGUGGAACUGCCUGGCAGACUGCGAUGCUAGAGUGUGGUAGGGGAGAGCGGAACUCUUGGUGGGGCGGUGAAAUGCGUAGAUAUCAAGAGGAACACCGGUGGCGAAGGCGGCUCUCUGGUCCACAACUGACGCUGAGGUGCGAAAGCUAGGGGAGCAAACGGG
RNAcentral lists this unclassified non-coding RNA (253 nucleotides) under uncultured Planctomycetota bacterium. RNAcentral describes it as "uncultured planctomycete contains 16S-23S intergenic spacer region". It matches the Rfam family "Bacterial small subunit ribosomal RNA", at positions 524 to 776 of the family's 1533-position model. Lineage: Bacteria; Pseudomonadati; Planctomycetota. The record is from RNAcentral.